AUGCUAAUGCCUCCCAUCAAAAGCUGCGGUAGAAUCAUCAGUUGUUUGAAUUUCAGUUUCGUGAGUCUGAUGGUUGGUUGAAUCGAAAUAAUUACACCACCACCGCCGCCGCCACUUGAGUUACCACACCAUUGCUUUAGAGAUCUAGGGUUUCAUAUUAGAUGUGAAAAAGGAAAAAGUGAUUAACAGCGAUGAUAUUUAUGGGUUAAACGACGAUGAAGACCUUAGAUUUAGGGUUUUGCAAGUUUACCUCUACUUCAAUAUCGCUCGUUGGAAAUCCAGAACUGAAUCAAUCAACUCAGCACCAUAGAUUGGUUGUCACAAAAGAUGAGAUAAAACCCAAAACAAUGCUUCAAGCAUAAAAAAAACUCGAUCAACACUAAGAUUAGAUGAAACCGAACGAAUCAUGGAUGAAUGAUAGAAGAAUCAUAAGAAAUUGAACGAAAUCAUCGAUGAAAGAUACAAGAAAUCAUAGGAAAAAAGAAUAGAUUCAUUGACUUACCAGAUGCUAAUGAAAUCGAAAGAGAUGGUGGUAGAUUUGCUUGUCGGCGAUGAACAAAAUUAGGGUUUUGUACGCUUGAAUGAAAGCGUGAAUGAGAAGAAUGAUGUGUUUGAGAGAUCUAGUCUAAUUAGAUAGUUUUUAUAC
RNAcentral lists this long non-coding RNA (646 nucleotides) under Helianthus annuus (common sunflower). RNAcentral's name for it is "hypothetical non coding rna". Lineage: Eukaryota; Viridiplantae; Streptophyta; Magnoliopsida; Asterales; Asteraceae. The record is from RNAcentral.